AUGGACGCUGGCGGCGUGCCUAAUACAUGCAAGUCGCGCGAACAGACGAGGAGCUUGCUCCUCUGACGUUAGCGGCGGACGGGUGAGUAACACGUGGAUAACCUACCUAUAAGACUGGGAUAACUUCGGGAAACCGGAGCUAAUACCGGAUAAUAUAUUGAACCGCAUGGUUCAAUAGUGAAAGACGGUUUUGCUGUCACUUAUAGAUGGAUCCGCGCCGCAUUAGCUAGUUGGUAAGGUAACGGCCUACCAAGGCAACGAUGCGUAGCCGACCUGAGAGGGUGAUCGGCCACACUGGAACUGAGACACGGUCCAGACUCCUACGGGAGGCAGCAGUAGGGAAUCUUCCGCAAUGGGCGAAAGCCUGACGGAGCAACGCCGCGUGAGUGAUGAAGGUCUUCGGAUCGUAAAACUCUGUUAUUAGGGAAGAACAAAUGUGUAAGUAACUAUGCACGUCUUGACGGUACCUAAUCAGAAAGCCACGGCUAACUACGUG
This 496-nucleotide ribosomal RNA is filed under the name uncultured bacterium. Its description in RNAcentral is "partial 16S ribosomal RNA". It matches the Rfam family "Bacterial small subunit ribosomal RNA", at positions 29 to 507 of the family's 1533-position model. The record is from RNAcentral.